This 444-nucleotide ribosomal RNA is filed under the name Vertigo oscariana. RNAcentral's name for it is "partial 16S ribosomal RNA". It matches the Rfam family "Bacterial large subunit ribosomal RNA", at positions 1827 to 2597 of the family's 2925-position model. Lineage: Eukaryota; Metazoa; Mollusca; Gastropoda; Stylommatophora; Vertiginidae. The record is from RNAcentral.
UAGCUUUAAGCUUGUAUUUAAAGUUUUACCUGCCCAGUGAUAUUUUUAACGGCCGCAGUACUUUGACUGUGCUAAGGUAGCAUAAUAAGUUGGCUUUUAAUUAAAGUCGGGUAUGAAAGGGGCUUCGGAAAAUAACUGUCUUAAUUAUAUUUUAUUUUAAUUUAAUUAAUGGGUGAAAAUUCCCAUAAUUCUUACAUUAGACGAGAAGACCCUAAGAAUUAUAAUUAAAAUGAAUCAAAUUCAUUUAUCAUUUUUGUUGGGGCAACAAUGACUGGAUUUUUAACCGUCAUAUAAUAAUUUUACAUAACUAGUAUAUUUAAAAGGAAAUAAAUUACCUUAGGGAUAACAGCAUAAUUAAUUUUUAGAUUGUGACCUCGAUGUUGGAUUAAGGACUUAAUUUACUAGCCGUAAAUUAAGAUAGUUCUGUUCGAACUGUAAUACCUU